UCUCAGGGGGAAUUGCUCAGUUUACGGCGAGUGAGCGGCAAAAGCUCAAAUUUGAAAUCUAGCACUUUCAGUGUUCGAGUUGUAAUUUGAAGAAGGUAACUUUGGUUUUGGCUCUUGUCUAUGUUCCUUGGAACAGGACGUCACAGAGGGUGAGAAUCCCGUGCGAUGAGAUGCCCAAUUCCAUGUAAAGUGCUUUCGAAGAGUCGAGUUGUUUGGGAAUGCAGCUCUAAGUGGGUGGUAAAUUCCAUCUAAAGCUAAAUAUUGGCGAGAGACCGAUAGCGAACAAGUACAGUGAUGGAAAGAUGAAAAGAACUUUGAAAAGAGAGUGAAAAAGUACGUGAAAUUGUUGAAAGGGAAGGGCUUGAGAUCAGACUUGGUAUUUUGCGUUCCCUUCCUUUUUGGUUGGGUUCCUCGCAGUUUACUGGGCCAGCAUCGGUUUGGAUGGUAGGAUAAUGACAUUGGAAUGUAGCUUUACUUCGGUGAAGUGUUAUAGACUUUGUUGAUACUGCCUAUCUAGACCGAGGACUGCGUCUUUGACUAGGAUGCUGGCGUAAUGAUCUUAAGCCGCCCGUCUGAACACCGGAACCAAAAAAAAAAAAUAAAAUUUGGGGGGAGGGAGGGAAGGGGGGGGCGGGGGGCGGGGGGGCACCCGGGGGGUCGGGGAAGGGGGAAGGGGGGGGGGACCGCCGGCGGGGAGGC
Molecule: ribosomal RNA, 699 nt
Filed under: Dujonia zeylanoides
Lineage: Eukaryota; Fungi; Ascomycota; Pichiomycetes; Serinales; Debaryomycetaceae
Description: [Candida] zeylanoides partial large subunit ribosomal RNA
Rfam family: Eukaryotic large subunit ribosomal RNA (bases 1-583)
Source: RNAcentral